Molecule: ribosomal RNA, 510 nt
Filed under: uncultured bacterium
Lineage: Bacteria
Description: bacterial SSU rRNA
Rfam family: Bacterial small subunit ribosomal RNA
Source: RNAcentral
AUGGCUCAGAUUGAACGCUGGCGGCAGGCCUAACACAUGCAAGUCGAACGGUAACAGGAAGCAGCUUGCUGCUUGCUGACGAGUGGCGGACGGGUGAGUAAUGUCUGGGAAACUGCCCGAUGGAGGGGGAUAACUACUGGAAACGGUAGCUAAUACCGCAUAAUGUCGCAAGACCAAAGAGGGGGACCUUCGGGCCUCUUGCCAUCGGAUGUGCCCAGAUGGGAUUAGCUAGUUGGUGAGGUAACGGCUCACCAAGGCGACGAUCCCUAGCUGGUCUGAGAGGAUGACCGGCCACACUGGAACUGAGACACGGUCCAGACUCCUACGGGAGGCAGCAGUGGGGAAUAUUGCACAAUGGGCGCAAGCCUGAUGCAGCCAAUGCCGCGUGUAUGAAGAAGGCCUUCGGGUUGUAAAGUACUUUCAGCGGGGAGGAAGGGGUUAAGGUUAAUAACCUUAGCCAUUGACGUUACCCGCAGAAGAAGCACCGGCUAACUCCGUGCCAGCCGCCGC